UUGGUGGGGUGAUGGCCUACCAAGGCGACGACGGGUAGCCGGCCUGAGAGGGUGUCCGGCCACACUGGGACUGAGAUACGGCCCAGACUCCUACGGGAGGCAGCAGUGGGGAAUAUUGCACAAUGGGCGCAAGCCUGAUGCAGCGACGCCGCGUGGGGGAUGACGGCCUUCGGGUUGUAAACCCCUUUCAGCACAGACGAAGCGCAAGUGACGGUAUGUGCAGAAGAAGCACCGGCCAACUACGUGCCAGCAGCCGCGGUAAUACGUAGGGUGCGAGCGUUGUCCGGAAUUACUGGGCGUAAAGAGCUCGUAGGUGGUUUGUCGCGUUGUUCGUGAAAACUCACAGCUUAACUGUGGGCGUGCGGGCGAUACGGGCAGACUGGAGUACUGCAGGGGAGACUGGAAUUCCUGGUGUAGCGGUGGAAUGCGCAGAUAUCAGGAGGAACACCGGUGGCGAAGGCGGGUCUCUGGGCAGUAACUGACGCUGAGGAGCGAAAGCGUGGGGAGCGAACAGGAUUAGAUACCCUGGUAGUCCACGCCGUAAACGGUGGGUACUAGGUGUGGGUUUCCUUCCUUGGGAUCCGUGCCGUAGCUAACGCAUUAAGUACCCCGCCUGGGGAGUACGG
This 626-nucleotide ribosomal RNA is filed under the name uncultured bacterium. Its description in RNAcentral is "bacterial SSU rRNA". It matches the Rfam family "Bacterial small subunit ribosomal RNA", at positions 249 to 885 of the family's 1533-position model. The record is from RNAcentral.